This 303-nucleotide ribosomal RNA is filed under the name uncultured bacterium. RNAcentral's name for it is "bacterial SSU rRNA". It matches the Rfam family "Bacterial small subunit ribosomal RNA", at positions 44 to 334 of the family's 1533-position model. The record is from RNAcentral.
GUGCCUAACACAUGCAAGUCGAACGCGAAAGUCCCGCAAGGGAUCAGUAGAGUGGCAAACGGGUGAGUAACACGUGGGUGACCUGCCUUCGAGCGGGGGAUAACGUCCCGAAAGGGACGCUAAUACCGCAUGACAUCCUGCCUUUGAAGAGGUGGAGAUCAAAGCUGGGGAUCGCAAGACCUAGCACUCGAAGAGGGGCCCGCGCCUGAUUAGCUAGUUGGUGGGGUAACGGCUCACCAAGGCAACGAUCAGUAUCCGGCCUGAGAGGGCGGACGGACACACUGGGACUGUUACACGGCCCAG